Molecule: long non-coding RNA, 425 nt
Filed under: Androctonus crassicauda
Lineage: Eukaryota; Metazoa; Arthropoda; Arachnida; Scorpiones; Buthidae
Source: RNAcentral
GGGCAAUAUUAUUUUCUGAAGAGUGGAGUCCCUAUAGGUGUACUCUUAGCUGGGAUCAUGGCUGAGUUGGUGGUCAAAUAUAAGGAGUCUACUGUAUUAGUCUAUUAGGACAGAAUUUAAAAUGUACCUGAGUUAUGUUGAUGUCUGUGUAGUUUGGAACGACAGAGUUUGUGAGCAGUAUCUGGUAAAUAGUCUUAGUGACGAUACCUUAGGCCUUAGGAUAAGAGUAGAGCAGACUUCUGAUACCAGCUUUCAUUUUCUAGAUCUCCAAGUGGAUGUACAGAGUGGUGAAUAUGUUACUAGAAUAUAUAAAAAGCCACCUCUACCCCGGUGUUAAUACCUGCCUGGUUGUAUGACCCUAUACAAUAUAAACUUGCAGCUUUUUGAUCUUUGUUUACAGAGUCCACACACAUAUUGAAAAGAGC